UACGGGGGGGGCAAGCGUUGUUCGGAAUUACUGGGCGUAAAGGGUUCGUAGGUGGCCAACUAAGUCAGACGUGAAAUCCCUCAGCUUAACUGGGGAACUGCGUCUGAUACUGGUUGGCUUGAGUGCAGGAGAGGAAUGCGGAAUUCCAGGUGUAGCGGUGAAAUGCGUAGAUAUCUGGAGGAACACCGGUGGCGAAGGCGGCUUUCUGGACACUUACUGACGCUGAGACGCGAAAGCGUGGGGAGCAAACAGG
Molecule: ribosomal RNA, 253 nt
Filed under: uncultured bacterium
Lineage: Bacteria
Description: partial 16S ribosomal RNA
Rfam family: Bacterial small subunit ribosomal RNA
Source: RNAcentral